GGCGCGGUAGCUCAGCUGGUUAGAGCGCAGGAUUCAUAAUCCUGAGGUCGGGAGUUCAAGCCUCCCCCGCGCUA
Molecule: transfer RNA, 74 nt
Filed under: Saprospiraceae bacterium
Lineage: Bacteria; Pseudomonadati; Bacteroidota; Saprospiria; Saprospirales; Saprospiraceae
Description: tRNA-Met
Rfam family: tRNA
About the family: Transfer RNA (tRNA) molecules are approximately 80 nucleotides in length. Their secondary structure includes four short double-helical elements and three loops (D, anti-codon, and T loops).
Source: RNAcentral